Molecule: long non-coding RNA, 2515 nt
Organism: Zonotrichia leucophrys gambelii
Lineage: Eukaryota; Metazoa; Chordata; Aves; Passeriformes; Passerellidae
Exons: 3
Source: RefSeq, a predicted model, not a curated record
ACAGAUCCUUGCUGCCUUCUGGAGUGGUGUUGCUCUGUGUAGGCAGAUGCCUGAAGCCUUCUAUGAGGAAAAAAAAAGAACGGGAAAGGUCAUCAGAGCAUCCUAAACUCGAUCAGAUAUUGGGAUGGUCCUGCUAACCAUCAUUUGUCACAGUGUUUGUGUCCAGUUUGUCUUGAUCUUCCCCUUGGGAGAAAGCGUUGCCAAAUAUAAAAAUGUUGUCCCUUUACCUCUGAGAGUGAGGCAAAAUUACGACUCAGAAACAGAGAGAGAUGGAGAGGUGGAUGAACAACCUACAACUCUUCUCAUCCUGGCAGGAUGUGAGAACUCAAUGGCCUUUCCACAGCUUUCUUUCCUGGCUCUCUGUAGGGGUAAUUUGGGUAAAAUCACACUGUGGGGCAAUUAAUUUCCAGCAGAUAAUUGGCCAAGCAUACUGGUACAGCAACAAAUGUCAGGGAGAACAUGACUUGCUGUCCAAAUGGCCUUGCGUGGAUGUUCUUCCCACUGAUUUUCUUCACCCCACCUGCCUCCCCAUCCAAGGAAAUGCUACAGCUGGAAGGUGUGAGGUGUUCCUAUGAUGGUUGGUGGUGAAUCCUCGCUGCUGGGAACAAGCAAGACAGAGCUGCAGAGAUAUUUGGAAUGACAGGAAGCCACGAUCCUGUUUGAACCUGAGGAAGGGUGAAUUUCUGUUUUAAAGCACCUUAUCUAAACAGUACUUAAGGAAGGAAACCUUGUGAACUCUUGUUAAAAACUUAUAGCUGUAAUUUAGAAAUUCCUUUCAUCUAGCAUGAAGGGGGUUUUGCCUGGAAGAAACAAGGAUGCAGUGUUCUCAUUUGCAUGGACUGUGCCAACAAAACAGGGAUACUUUUGGCAAUGCUGUUUUCACUUCUUAGUUCUACUCUUUUAAAUGUCUGCAUUUCUCUUGGCUCUUCAGAACUCUUGAAGAUUCACACAUUCCUUGAAAAUGAGUAGGUUUUUUCUGUUUUUUAUGUUAGCAAUGUCUACUUCACUUGUGUUUAACAAUAGGAGAAGAUAACUGUACUCUGUGUAAACAUUCUGCAAGUAGUUUAAUCCAGACUCACAAGGAUAUCUGGUUUCCUAAAAGGUGUCCAUAAUUAUGUAGCAAAGUUCUGAAGAAUGUAAUUCAUCAUCUUAGAAACUAGGCUGGAAUACUACACGACUCUGGUUUAGGUUUGGAAAAGGGAAUGUCAUGAAUCCAGGGGACUCUUUUUCAGUUCAAUUUAGCCUGCUUUGGCUUGGGGUAGUGUACUGGAAUGACAGCAGGGAGGAAGUCUGUGCACCAGUGAAACCACCAGUCCAGGGCCUCCCCCUAGACAUUAUUCAGCUGUCUCUGCCGUUUCUGCAAGGCUCUAGAAGUGGAAUUUUUACCUGGCAUUUGGCUAGGUGCUGGGACUUGUUUUUCCCAUAAUUAAAAGCAGGAUGAUGGCUGGAUGGUUCUUUGCUUUCAUGGCCUUGCUGAAAUUGGCAAGGCACUGGGAAGACUGGAAAAUGUUGUUAAGCCUUUACAGAAUGGUUUGUCUGCUGGCUAGAACAGAUCAGAAGGUGCUCAUUUACUUGUCCGUGAUUAAAAAAUAAGGAAGAAAUGCUGCUGUAUUUCUGAAUGGUACCUUUUAGUUAUGAGUUUGUUGUGCUUUAAAAAAAUCACCAUUUCAGUGUAUUUGUUUAGACUGACUGGACACCAACACCCCCGUGGCUUUCCAGGAGCUUCAGGAGUCCUGACACACAUGGCACACUCAGAGCUGCUCUCAAUGCUGUAGUAGUGGCUCAGGUCUGAUAAAUUAGAGAGAGGGAUGUGCUGAUAAUUUUCCCUUUUUUGCAUGAAAACAUGGAUUUUUCCAUGCCCUUCUUGUAAUUCUGACCUGCACUCUGGCUCUGACCUGAGUAUUUGGGUACCCUGAGCCUACGUUUACUGAUCUGCACCUCCUCCUGCUGCUUGCUGUCUCUUCCUCGGUCAAACUUUGAUUUCCUUUUGGCCUGAGGGAAUUGAAAUGAGGGCAGGGAACAAAAGCCAGCUUUGCCAAUGCUAUGGUGAGCAGAAAGGAAGGAGGGUGUUACUUGGCUUCAAAAUAAAUCAGCUGUGUCUGUCUGCAUGCUCAGAGCAGGGUUCCUCUGUUGAAUCCAUCCAUACUGAUCAUCUGUACCACACUGGAAAUGUUCCCAUUUUGGUGGCUUUAGGAGAAUUCCUCAGCUCAUUGCAGACCACAUCUUUUCCUCUCAGCAUAAGGAUUUUACUUCUAAUUUGCCCAGAAACUGUGGACGUUUAUUUGUAUUUAUGGCAACUUUUCCUUUACAGUGAGCAUUUCAUUUUGCCUCAGUUUGGCCACCAGAUUUUUUAAUAGCUGGAAGUAAAGUGGUUUUAUCCAUGCAGAAUUAGGCACAUUUCAAGUAAAACUGAUUAGUACUUGAUUCAGGACCAGGUUGGAUGGGACCCUGAGCAACCUGGUCUAGUGGAAGGUGUCCUUGCCCACAGCUGGGAUUGCUGCUAAAUGAUCUUUAA